GCGUGAGAAAUUAUUGUCUUCAGCCUCGUUUGUUGAAAGUGACAAAAAAGCCAUACACCACUUGCAAAACCGAUUGGCUAAUUCUUUUCGCCAUGGCCUUCAUACAAUUUCUCUGCAACCCAAUAAUCUUUACGGCUUUAGCUCUAAUCCCAGCUCUUUUCAUAUUCCAAAUGUUCACUAGGAAGUUAAUGAAGAAAGAAAACCAGAGAGAGAAGAAGUACCAUCCAAUUGGUGGCACAGUGUUUAACCAGCUCCUCAACUUCAAUAGGUUGCACCAUUACAUGACUGAUCUUGCUGCCAAGUACAGGACUUACAGGCUCCUAGGCCCUUUCAGAAAUGAGAUUUACACUUCUGACCCAUCAAAUGUUGAGUACAUACUCAAA
RNAcentral lists this unclassified non-coding RNA (383 nucleotides) under Hevea brasiliensis (rubber tree). Lineage: Eukaryota; Viridiplantae; Streptophyta; Magnoliopsida; Malpighiales; Euphorbiaceae. The record is from RNAcentral.